UAGAAAUAGUUGAAGGGGGAGUGGGACAGAAUUCUUUUUAAAUUCGUCGUCCCACUCCCAACUUGCUUUGCUUGUAGAAUUUCUUAGUGAAAUUCUCUUUGUUGGGGCCCCGCCCACAAGGAUGACUAGUACUGGAAAAAGCUUGAUUUAAGCGCCUUUUCAGUUCAGUCAGCUACUGCGAAUUUGCAAAAUAGUAUCAUCAUAUUAUUUA
Molecule: small RNA, 211 nt
Organism: Staphylococcus haemolyticus JCSC1435
Lineage: Bacteria; Bacillati; Bacillota; Bacilli; Caryophanales; Staphylococcaceae
Rfam family: Staphylococcus sRNA 35 (srn_0335)
About the family: Other name: Srn_0335, SAOUHSCs258. Northern blot transcript confirmed in exponentially growing and stationary cells in three cultivation media.
Source: Rfam